AGUGCAGCCGCGUGCAUGAAUGAAAACGCCGCCGGGCGCUUCUAGUCGGACAAAAUGCAGCCGAGAACUCCGCUCGUUCUGUGCGUUCUCCUGUCCCAGUAGAGACGGCGUUUCACCGUGUUAGCCAGGAUGGUCUUGAUCUCCUGAUCUCGUGAUCCGCCAGCCUCGGCCUCCCAAAGUGCUGGGAUUAUAGGCGUGAGCCACCGCGCCCGGCCUAUCGUGCCCUUUCAACAGAUGAAGAAACUGGGCCAAACAACCCACCUGCACUGCAUGGUUCCCCCAGCAAGAACAUCCCAGUGAGAAUGGCCCACAGAUGCCUGGGCGUGACUCACCUGCAGCUUCAACCAUGCAGGCUGAAGUGCAGUGGCGUGAUCUCGGCUCACUGCAACCUCCAUCUCCAGAGUUCAAGCGAUUCUCGUGCCUCAGCCUCCCAAGUAGCCAGGAUUGCAGGGCCAAGAUGUCUAAAGUUGACCUUCAGUCUAGUCCAACAUCUGGAAAUCAGGACUAAAGCCACCAGCACAGAUAAAAAUGGAGA
Molecule: small RNA, 535 nt
Filed under: Pan troglodytes (chimpanzee)
Lineage: Eukaryota; Metazoa; Chordata; Mammalia; Primates; Hominidae
Description: processed transcript
Source: RNAcentral